RNAcentral lists this long non-coding RNA (3862 nucleotides) under Brassica rapa (field mustard). Its description in RNAcentral is "long non-coding RNA (BRAP_LNC008796)". The record is from RNAcentral. Lineage: Eukaryota; Viridiplantae; Streptophyta; Magnoliopsida; Brassicales; Brassicaceae.
CCCCAUACUCUCUUAAGAGAGUUACAAACGCCCAUGAGGUCUUUAUAUAGGUUUUACACUCUUGCAAACUCAUAAACCUAUAUCUAAUGGAUAGAAAUAACUUAAGAGGAAUGGAUGGUGAGGAUGAGUUGGUCUUGUUGUGAUCUGAGUGAUGUGUGCUGAUUGGAUGAGCUAAGCUGGCUCACUUUAAUUCAAACCAAGGCUGAGCUUUGAUUGGUUCUUCUUAGGCUCCUUUGUAUCUGUCCACAGAUCAGUCUAGGUGCAUGGUCGUGGCUGCCUUCCUCUUUACAGCAGCCAGCCUGUCCAUACCCCAAAGUAACCAAUCAGCUCCACACAGCAUCUUCUUGAUUCCCUUUGACUAGAUUCAAACCUUGGUGCCUUAUCCAUAUACUAUGCACACUCUUCACAUCCUGAAUAGUGACCCAAAUAGUGAAUAGUCAACCUGAAUAGUGACUAGUGAUUCACUAUUCACUUUUACACCAACUUGCCCAAACUUCUCCAAUCUUACUGUGGUAACUCUCCAAAGUUACUGUGGUAACUUUGGAGUUACUGUCUGACCCAAAUCUUCUCUAAAUGGUGUCUAAGUCCCUCCUGGACUUAACCCUAUCUUUGCACACUCAUCAGACCACUUCUGAAGCCUUAAGACUCUCCCAAAGCCUUAACAUACAAUCUCUGAAGAUCUUGCCAUGUCUUUGCACAAGCACCAACUCAACUCAUCACUUUUGCUUCUCCACUUCUUCUCUUCAAGUUAACACUCCCCCUCAAGCUUGACUCUAGCUGAUCCUAAGUCAAGCUUGGAACCUUGAAGAACUUCCUCAUUAAAAACCUCACCAAGGAAAACCCUUUGGGACAAAACCUUGAUGAGGGAAAAAGAGUAAAGUCUCCAAGGCCUAGGGAUUGGCCAGUGAGUCUUUGUGCCUUACCAACAAUGUAAGGGACACAAAGACUCUGGAUCAUGGCCUCUACAAUCAUCCCACGCCUUGUACUCUCCUUACUGCCUAAUCUUGGUCUCUCCCCCUUUCACCUAACCUCUUGUUAGGUUGAAGUGCUCGGACACACCAGAUCAGCCUCUUCUUGGAGAUACAACUUCUCUUACUGAGUCUUGGCUGCUUCUUCUUCUUAUAGAGUCGCCACCUUGUUGCUUGAGCUACAUGAGGAUGCUUCAGCCACUCUCCAAUCACCUCAACACUUGAAGCCGCCUUGGACAUUGCUUCUUCAUCCUUCAUCAUACUUCUCAACAGGUUGCUUCCUCUUCUAGAAUAACCACCAAGCUCUCUUGGAUCAUGUAAGCUUCAACACUCCCCCUCAAGCUUGAGACUCUCACAGGAACAAGCUUGAAUGGAUUGCUUCAUGAUCCUCACACACACACCAUUGCCGCUUCUCUUCUGAUCUUGCCAUCUUCAUGGAAUGCUUGUGGAAGCUUCAGCUAUCUCUCCAAUCACUUCACACUAGAAGCCGCCUUGAUAGAGUUGCCUUCAUCUUCUCACAGCCAAGAGUACUCUGUCUUAGUUUGAGUACUCUCUUGAAUAGACUCGCCACAGCCUAAGCCCGGAUGGCUCCUUCUUCAGAUGGUUGCAAUGGACUUCUUGGAUCGCUUGGAAGCUCACUAAACUCCCCUCCUCAAGCUUGGAUUGAGUAUAGGUCCAAGCUUGCAAGUGAGCUUCAGUGAGACUUCACACCAGUGGCGCAUCACCACUUCUUUCUCAACUCUCCAUUGCUCCACACAAUGGGCAAAGUCUUCCUCUUUCAACUCGGAUGGAUGGUGAACCAAGAACACCUCUUGUGAACCUGAAACAUCACUCAAACUCCAGCAAAGAUAAGACACAAGUGCAUUGGGUCAACCCUUGAUGCAUCAUCAAGUUUGAACACCAAUGUCUUUAAGCAAUGCAACAGAUUAAACUAGACAUUUUCAAGUUCUAAUCUUUGCAAGCAAACUCUCUAAGCACUAGCAUGAUCCUAACAGAUUCAAUACAAGCUACUUAGGCAAUUUUUAAAGCUUCUUUACUCAGCAUUUAGACAUGAAUCUAAUGCUUCAAUGUAAGACAGCCAUUUGACAGUAUGCACUAACCUUAAUCAGUUUUAAUUCAUGAAUGCAACAAUACAAUCCAUCACACAUUCAUUUAUAACUUAGGCUAAGCAUUACUAUCAUCACUUAUCAUCAGACAAUGCAUUACUUUCAAUCUGUUUUCAGUUCAUGAGCUUCAAACAAUAUCAUUUCACAUUUAGCAAACUCAUUACUUAACAGGAGCAAGCAUUUUACUCUUUAAACACUAAACAAGCCUUUAAAGCAUCCUGGGACAGAUUCAACUAAUUAUAUUUAGCAAUCACACAUUAUCCUCAGGUUUUUCAAUCAAUACACAUCACACUAACCAGGCAAUAACACAACACAAGCUCAUUAUCAAGAAGGUUUUAAGAAUCGCUUACACAAGGAACCAGGUUGGUUCCUUAAGCCUCCAAAGGCAAUCUGGCCAUGAUAUGGUUGGAUUCAAGAGUCUAGGUCGUCACCCAACUCCUUCUCCUUCAGUCCAUGGCCUCCUUCUUGUUUCUCACACCCAAAGACCCCUCCUUUCUUCAUACUUCAAACCGGCUUCUCUUAGCUUCAUCUUUCUUGUAUCCGGAUGUGAUAAGCUCUUGGACAAGGAGCUUUGGCAUGAGGUUCAUGACGCCUCUCCAUCCUCCUCUGCUUCCAAAGAGACACUCUCCAUCAGGUAAAGACAGGCACGGUUGAGAGAUAAGGAGAACACUCCAUGCUUCAAGCUUCUUUUUUCUUCAAGAACUGAACUCGGCUGGUAAUGUCUUCAAGGGUUUGGUUUGAGCUGAGAUGAGAGCUGUGGAUUUGCGGAAGCUCAGCUCAGGUUCUGAUGAACCUGGCUCUGAUACCAUAUGAGAUUUGAGAGCUCUGGCUGUGUAUGUGUAUGAGAAGCCAUUAGAGGCAAAGAAUAAGGUCUUGAACUAGUUGAAUAAGAGGUCUGAUGAAACUAGUAUGAACUUGAAUCAGAAACAAAGAGACUUAGAGAGAUUAAGAGAUUAGAGACUAAGAAAGGGGUAGAUUAAGGGAAUCUGAUCAAGAACACACUUUUAUAUUUAUGAAGGAGUUGGGGAAAAUCCCCAUACUCUCUUAAGAGAGUUACAAACGCCCAUGAGGUCUUUAUAUAGGUUUUACACUCUUGCAAACUCAUAAACCUAUAUCUAAUGGAUAGAAAUAACUUAAGAGGAAUGGAUGGUGAGGAUGAGUUGGUCUUGUUGUGAUCUGAGUGAUGUGUGCUGAUUGGAUGAGCUAAGCUGGCUCACUUUAAUUCAAACAAGGCUGUGCUUUGAUUGGUUCUUCUUAGGCUCCUUUGUAUCUGUCCAUAGAUCAGUCUAGGUGCAUGGUCGUGGCUGCCUUCCUCUUUACAGCAACAGCCAGCCUGUCCAUGCCCCAAAGUAACCAAUCAGCUCCACACAGCAUCUUCUUGAUUCCCUUUGACUAGAUUCAAACCUUGGUGCCUUAUCCAUAUACUAUGCACACUCUUCACAUCCUGAAUAGUGACCCAAAUAGUGAAUAGUCAACCUAAUAGUGACUAGUGAUUCACUAUUCACUUUUACACCAACUUGCCCAAACUUCUCCAAUCUUACUGUGGUAACUCUCCAAAGUUACUGUGGUAACUUUGGAGUUACUGUCUGACCCAAAUCUUCUCUAAAUGGUGUCUAAGUCCCUCCUGGACUUAACCCUAUCUUUGCACACUCAUCAGACCACUUCUGAAGCCUUAAGACUCUCCCAAAGCCUUAACAUACAACCUCUGAAGAUCUUGCCAUGUCUUUGCACAAGCACCAACUCAACUCAUCACUUUUGCUUCUCCACUUCUUCUCUUCAAGUUAACAC